This is a long non-coding RNA of Amblyraja radiata (thorny skate), 135 nucleotides long. RefSeq lists it as uncharacterized. Lineage: Eukaryota; Metazoa; Chordata; Chondrichthyes; Rajiformes; Rajidae. The transcript is spliced from 3 exons. The record is from RefSeq and is a predicted model, not a curated record.
AACAGGUCUGUAGUUUGUAAAAUGAUGCUUGUUCCCAGUUUUGUAUAUCGGUAUGACUUUUGCUAUUUUCAUUUUGAUUGGUAAAGUACCGGUUUGGAAAGAUAAAUUACAGAUGGAUGCUAAAGGUUUGUAGAU